GACGAACGCUGGCGGCGUGCCUAAUACAUGCAAGUAGAACGCUGAAGAGAGGAGCUUGCUCUUCUUGGAUGAGUUGCGAACGGGUGAGUAACGCGUAGGUAACCUGCCUUGUAGCGGGGGAUAACUAUUGGAAACGAUAGCUAAUACCGCAUAACAAUGGAUGACACAUGUCAUUUAUUUGAAAGGAGCAAUUGCUCCACUACAAGAUGGACCUGCGUUGUAUUAGCUAGUAGGUGAGGUAAUGGCUCACCUAGGCGACGAUACAUAGCCGACCUGAGAGGGUGAUCGGCCACACUGGGACUGAGACACGGCCCAGACUCCUACGGGAGGCAGCAGUAGGGAAUCUUCGGCAAUAGGGGCAACCCUGACCGAGCAACGCCGCGUGAGUGAAGAAGGUUUUCGGAUCGUAAAGCUCUGUUGUAAGUCAAGAACGGGUGUGAGAGUGGAAAGUUCACACUGUGACGGUAGCUUACCAGAAAGGGACGGCUAACUACGUG
RNAcentral lists this ribosomal RNA (497 nucleotides) under uncultured bacterium. RNAcentral's name for it is "partial 16S ribosomal RNA". It matches the Rfam family "Bacterial small subunit ribosomal RNA", at positions 28 to 507 of the family's 1533-position model. The record is from RNAcentral.